UCGGUUUGUGACGAAACUGUUUUGAUGCAGAUUUGAGGCUGAAGAUGAUCGAUCCGCUUGAGCACCAGUCAGUGCUGCUUCUACAACUUGAGAUGGUUUGGGAUAAGUACCUCGGAAGACGAAGGCAUUCCGAGCGCGCCAGAUCUGCCACAAAAGAUGAGAAAUAAAGGCCAGCCGAGGUAAUCGAUUUCCUGUCCCAAUCGUAGAAGCGAUCCAUGAAUCCAGACGGUGGAUGUUAAUGGGAAGGAUUGAAAUCCGGAUCUAGGGAUGAUUCCACACCUGUUGAGUCCACGAGCAGAGUAAGAGUAAAUGCUCUAAAGUUUCUGGAGUCUUUCUUUUACACAAUGUGCAGCAAGGACUGUCUAAUAUGUGUCGUCGAUACAGGUUUUCUCUCGUCGCCAAGGCAUUAUUGCAGAUGGACCAUAGAAAUACUCGGAUUUUGGGUGCAGCAGGCAUUUUCCAGAUAGAGCGCCAUAACCAGGUAGGAAUUUGGUGUGAUGUUGAUGCAGUUGAGGUUGAGAUAGUUGAUUGUGUGUGAGUGAGUGCAUAAUAUGCAGAUUUCACCGAAAAUAUGCCUUG
Molecule: long non-coding RNA, 579 nt
Filed under: Eucalyptus grandis
Lineage: Eukaryota; Viridiplantae; Streptophyta; Magnoliopsida; Myrtales; Myrtaceae
Description: long non-coding RNA (EGRA_LNC006557)
Source: RNAcentral